Chenopodium quinoa (quinoa) is the source of this 4026-nucleotide long non-coding RNA. RefSeq lists it as uncharacterized. The record is from RefSeq and is a predicted model, not a curated record. Lineage: Eukaryota; Viridiplantae; Streptophyta; Magnoliopsida; Caryophyllales; Amaranthaceae. The transcript has 5 exons.
AACCGUUCUCUAUUUUUUUUACUCAAAUAAUUAAAAAAAUAAUUAUUUAUUAUAGAUGAUAUAGAACGGUCAUCUUGACAACCGUUUUAUAUUGUAUUAACUUUUUUUUUUUUAAAUUAGGAUGAAAUUGUAUACGUACCGAGUAAUAAUUUACCCAAAUUAUCUAAGGCGGCUAAAUGGGAAAAGUGAAGCGCGCUUCUCUUUCACUUUCACUAGAAUACUAAAUCAAAAAAUACGUGAAACCUCUUCUCACUCAUUCAUCAACAAAAAAAAAAAAAAAAAAAAUUGAAACCUCCAUUAAACCUCCAUAUCAAAACCUUCAUCAGCCGCUUACAGUGUCGCUCCACCGCCGCUCCACGUCUGCAGCACCGCACCAGUAAAUUGAGGAGGAUAUUGUGCACACGCAUGCUGGGAACAAGCAGCUGCAGUUUGCUCUGUUGUCCAGUGUUGUGAUAUGUGGGAACUGAAGGCUGCUGAAGCUAAAGCAAAGCUAUCUGGUGGGGUUUACAGCUUGCUAGAGAGGCUAGGCUGAUGAAAAUAAUCAUUGAUGAGAUUCUAGUUCGUUCCAUUUCAUCAUUGAUGAUAUUAUUGAUGUAGCUAUUUCUGAUUUAUCUAUAUAUAAUUUCUGCCUUGAUGGGUUUCCUAAAAGAAAAAAUCAAGAUUGCAGUGUGGCUUCCAGAGAAUGAUCAAUCCUCAUAAAAGCUUGUUUAUUCGAAUUCAGGUAUUUUUUGAUAUAUGAAUUUCGGUAUUGUUAUAUCUGAUAUCUUUUAUUUGAAUUGUGUAGAGAGGAUUUAUAGUGCCGGAAGAACGUAGAAAUUAUGUAUUAGGGAGAGCUUCAAUCCGCUGGAGAGCUUUCAAGGCCAGAUUAAGAAAGGAUUGGAUGUACGACACCAAGGGAGUAAAUCCAAAUGUGAUUAUUAAAUGCCUAUACGAGGUAACGUGUGCAUUUGAUAGUUGCAGCUUUAAUGUAUCAGUGGCAGUAUAUGAUGAGUAUUUUAAGCAAGUUGCUCAUACAUAUUCUCAACAAAUGAUUGACGAGCUUAGGGAAAGGUGGAUUUCAUAUGUUACCGGAUACCAUCAACCAAAUGACAACGACGAUGAGUUAUGUGAAUUGUAGAUCAAUAUGGUAUUGGUAUAUUUUGGGGCAUCAAUUUUUUUAUUUAAAUCAACAUUAACUAGAAAGGUUUUUGAUAUUUAACUCACGUAUUUGUUUGUAUAGAACAAAUUUUGUAUGAAUGAUUCAAUUUGAUUGUGGUUAGAUGUUUAAAAUUAUAUAUAUGAAGUAUAUUUUGAUGGCUUUCGUCGUAUCUGGAAAUAUUUUUGUUAAUUUUAUUAUACAGAAAGUUAUAUCUCAUGUACAGGAUCUUGGAUUUUUUUUACAAAGGAAAUGUGAAGAUUUUCUUACAGGAUACAAGAUAUAAAACAGGAAUACAGGUCUAAAAUGAAAUACAAAAAUAAUUCAGAUUAUUAAAAUACAGGAAUAAUACGGUAUAAAAUACGUAGAGGGGUAAUUCGAAUAAUUAAAUACAUAUGGCUGGAUUUUUUUUUAAAAAAAAAAAAAUUAGAGAACUGUUAUCUAACUUAACCGUUCUAUAUUGUAAUGCAAUAUAGAACGGUUAAGUGGUCUAAACCGUUCUGUAUUCCUUCCUUAGUGUACGAAUUUAAGAAGGGAAAAGAGAACGGUUGUGACUAACAACCGUUCUCUAUUUGUUAUUAUAUAAAACGCCUAUACGACCCGUUCUCUAUACUUUAUACAUCGCUUAGCAGAAGAACGCCCCUAAGGCGGUCUAUAAAGCCUAUUCUAACCGUUCUCUGAGGCCUUUUUUGUGGUAGUGAUUUGUUUACAUUAUAAUGUUUGUUGUUAUUAGGUUUGUAUAACGAGCGGGAGAUGUGGAUCCCGGCAUAUCUAAAACAUGUUUUUUGGGCCAGUAUGCAAACAACCCAGAGAGUGGAAAGCAUGAACAGCUUUUUUGAUGGGUAUGUGAGGAGGAGCACGCGGUUGUACCAGUUUGCUCCCAGAUAUUGCAAGGCCAUGGAGAGCAGAGCGAUAGAUGAGCAGACGGCUGAUGCGAACAGCAGACGGUUUGUUCGCCCUUUAAUAACUGAGUUAGCUAUGGACCGUGCGUUCCAAAAAUUGUACACGGACGUAAAGUUUAAGGAAGUGCAGAUUCAAUGUCAGAGUCUGAUGUAUUUGACCACUCUGUCCAGGAGGAACAUCUCAGAUGGUUUUGUUGAACAUGUGAUCGAGGACAGAGUAUGGAUUUGGUCAAACUUCAAAAAGAAAGAGGUUCCCGAUCGAGAUGAGAAACGGAUUGUGGUGGUAAAAUUCUGUUUGGAAACGUCGUUUCCAGUGUGUGAUUACAAACACUUUGAAUGCCACGGGAUACCUUGUAGCCACAUUGUGAAGGUGUUGGAUCUGCAUUCUGUGAAAGAGGUGCCGAAAGAACUUGUUCUAGACAGGUGGCGGAAAGAUAUUAAUCGGAAACGUACAAUGGUAAAGGUUGCGUACCAUGAUCCCUCUAAAACAGAAGAUGUGCAGCGAUAUGAUAAGGCAAUGGUUGCCUUGGAAUCGAUUCUACUUAGAGCCAGUAUGUCCGAAGAGUUGAGUGGGUCCUGAUGGAACGAAUUCGGGUCAUGGCAAUGCAACUUGAUGAGAAGGAAGGUAGGGUAGGAGUGGAGUCUGGGAGGCAACAACACUGAGGAGCCGACCAAACACCAAAAUGAGGUGCCACUGCCACUUACCCCUUGCUCUGUUAACAAGGCAGGGGGGCAGCAAAUGACACACGCACUCUAGGUGACACUACCCCCAUGACCCAAUCUACCCCAGUUUAGAUCCCGACAUCUACACUUAUUCAAAACUCAACCGAUCCAACUGCCACCACCGUUUCUCCCUUAGUUCAAGAACCAGUGAGUCGAGCGAGGAAGAAGGCACCCAGUAAACACUAGGCGAAGAAGAAGUUAUCCAACAUAAAGAAGAAGAAGAACCCAAGUAAAGGAAAGGGGAAGGGGAAAAGGAGGGACAGUUCAAGCUCAAGCAGUGAUGAUGAAUCCGACAACAGCAGCGAUAAGAAGAAGAAGUCUGCCAAGAAAAAAAAGAGGAAGAAGAUGGGAAAAAGAAAACACAGUUCAAGCAGCUCAAGCAGCGAUGAAUUUGACAAAAGCGUAGACAUUCAACAAAAAAAUCGUAAAGCCCCAGCAGCAGUAGUAGGACAGGCAUUUUGAUUCACAUGCCAACCACAUGAGAAUGGUUUGACUCAGAAUUCGAUGUUCUAUGCCUAACAACAAAACAAGCGGAUCUUUGUUCAGCAACAGAACCAAGAACAGCUGUUGGGGCAGCUUAACCAACAACAGCAGUUUGGGCAGCAAAACCAACAUCACUUCUUUGGUCAACAACAGAGCAACCAACAAAGCCAACAGUAGCAGCUAUUUGUCCAUCAACAACACAGCCAACAACAGCAGCUAUUUGUCCAUCAAUAACACAACUUCCACCAGGUGGUAAACAACCAGUAGCGGGACUGUGGUGGAGUAACUGACCAAGGAGAUAUGUGUAUGGGUCCCAGCCAACCAAUUCCAACGGCUCGUGGUAACUGUAACCAACACAUUUUUUUUACCCCCGACAUCAAACAUGGGAAGAAUAACUGAUGUUCAAGGACCCCAUAACAAUGGUCAAGGCCCCCCUCCAAUAAAUUAUUCUUCCGCAGGAGGAAUUCAAAUGUCGAACAAAACCACACUUCAAUAUUUUACGAAUAAUUUUACCAGAUGAACAAAAUUGUAGUUUUACGAUGUUUUAGCAGAGGAACAAAAUUGCAGUUUUACAAUGUAAAAUGUAUGUUUCUUUAGGAGUCAAUAGUUAUAUGGCUAUGCCAUGAUACACAGAAGAAACCUAAGUUGUAUAUAAAAAUAGUAACAGUUCAGUACUGGAGUGGCGGAUACACAGAUUAAAAUACGAAGUACAUUCAAAACAUCAAAGAUCAUGUUCAAACGGAUCAGUUUUGUAUGUCUGUAUUUAAGGAUCAUCUUGCUGCA